CCUACGGGAGGCAGCAGUGGGGAAUAUUGCGCAAUGGGCGAAAGCCUGACGCAGCGACGCCGCGUGAGGGAUGAAGGUCUUCGGAUCGUAAACCUCUGUCAGCAGGGAAGAACGGUCACUGUGCUAAUCAGCAGUGAAUUGACGGUACCUGCAAAGGAAGCACCGGCUAACUCCGUGCCAGCAGCCGCGGUAAUACGGAGGGUGCGAGCGUUAAUGGGAAUGACUGGGCGUAAAGCGCUCGUAGGCGGUAUGUCAAGUCAAGGGUGAAAUCCCAGGGCUAAACGAGGGAAGUGCUUUUGAAACUGGCCAGCUGGAUUGUGUGAGAGGAUAGCGGAAUUCCAGGUGUAGGAGUGAAAUGCGUAGAUAUCAGGAGGAACAUCAGUGGCGAAGGCGACUAUCUGGCACAUAACUGACGCUGAGGAGCGAAAGCGUGGGUAGCAAACAGGAUUAGAUACCCGAGUAGUC
This 465-nucleotide ribosomal RNA is filed under the name uncultured bacterium. Its description in RNAcentral is "partial 16S ribosomal RNA". It matches the Rfam family "Bacterial small subunit ribosomal RNA", at positions 338 to 795 of the family's 1533-position model. The record is from RNAcentral.